UACGUAGGGUGCGAGCGUUAAUCGGAAUUACUGGGCGUAAAGGGUGCGCAGGCGGUCUCGUAAGCUGGGUGUGAAAGCCCCGGGCUUAACCUGGGAAUGGCAUUCAGGACUGCGAGGCUUUGAGUGCGGCAGAGGGAGGUGGAAUUCCACGUGUAGCAGUGAAAUGCGUAGAGAUGUGGAGGAACAUCAGUGGCGAAGGCGGCCUCCUGGGCCAGCACUGACGCUCAGGCACGAAAGCGUGGGGAGCAAACAGG
Molecule: ribosomal RNA, 254 nt
Filed under: uncultured bacterium
Lineage: Bacteria
Description: partial 16S ribosomal RNA
Rfam family: Bacterial small subunit ribosomal RNA
Source: RNAcentral